CAGCCGCCACGGGAAUACAGAGGGUGCAAGCGUUAAUCGGAAUUACUGGGCGUAAAGCGCGCGUAGGUGGUUUGUUAAGUUGGAUGUGAAAUCCCCGGGCUCAACCUGGGAACUGCAUCCAAAACUGGCAAGCUAGAGUAUGGUAGAGGGUGGUGGAAUUUCCUGUGUAGCGGUGAAAUGCGUAGAUAUAGGAAGGAACACCAGCGGCGAAGGCGACCACCUGGACUGAUACUGACACUGAGGUGCGAAAGCGUGGGGAGCAAACAGGAUUAGAUACCCCCGUAGUCCCUGUCUCUUAUAC
Molecule: ribosomal RNA, 301 nt
Filed under: uncultured bacterium
Lineage: Bacteria
Description: partial 16S ribosomal RNA
Rfam family: Bacterial small subunit ribosomal RNA
Source: RNAcentral